GCCCCUGUAGCUCAGAGGAUAGAGCACCGGUUUCCUAAACCGGGUGUCCCGCGUUCGAGUCGCGGCAGGGGUACCA
This 76-nucleotide transfer RNA is filed under the name Alphaproteobacteria bacterium. Its description in RNAcentral is "tRNA-Arg". It matches the Rfam family "tRNA". Rfam says of the family: Transfer RNA (tRNA) molecules are approximately 80 nucleotides in length. Their secondary structure includes four short double-helical elements and three loops (D, anti-codon, and T loops). The record is from RNAcentral. Lineage: Bacteria; Pseudomonadati; Pseudomonadota; Alphaproteobacteria. RNAcentral also lists the same sequence under 4 other names.